RNAcentral lists this ribosomal RNA (482 nucleotides) under uncultured bacterium. Its description in RNAcentral is "partial 16S ribosomal RNA". It matches the Rfam family "Bacterial small subunit ribosomal RNA", at positions 30 to 507 of the family's 1533-position model. The record is from RNAcentral.
AUUGAACGCUGGCGGCAUGCCUUACACAUGCAAGUCGAACGGUAACGGGCCUUCGGGUGCCGACGAGUGGCGAACGGGUGAGUAAUACAUCGGAACGUGCCCGAUCGUGGGGGAUAACGAGGCGAAAGCUUUGCUAAUACCGCAUACGAUCUACGGAUGAAAGCAGGGGACCGCAAGGCCUUGCGCGGACGGAGCGGCCGAUUGCAGAUUAGGUAGUUGGUGGGAUAAAAGCUUACCAAGCCGACGAUCUGUAGCUGGUCUGAGAGGAUGAUCAGCCACACUGGGACUGAGACACGGCCCAGACUCCUACGGGAGGCAGCAGUGGGGAAUUUUGGACAAUGGGCGCAAGCCUGAUCCAGCCAUGCCGCGUGCAGGAUGAAGGCCUUCGGGUUGUAAACUGCUUUUGUACGGAACGAAAAGCCUUCUUUUAAUACAGGAGGGUCAUGACGGUACCGUAAGAAUAAGCACCGGCUAACUACGUG